This is a long non-coding RNA of Bubalus bubalis (water buffalo), 488 nucleotides long. RefSeq lists it as uncharacterized. NCBI's taxonomy places the organism in Eukaryota, Metazoa, Chordata, Mammalia, Artiodactyla, Bovidae. The record is from RefSeq and is a predicted model, not a curated record. The transcript is spliced from 3 exons.
CCGGAGUCCGCCUUCUCGAAGCCCAGGGAGUGGCCGAGAGCGCAGGGCAGCCGGCGGCGGCGAGGGGCGCGGGGAUCGCCCGGGGGGGCUGCCGUGGGUCCUCCGCCCGGCGCGCGCUGUCCAGUCUUCAGACGGCUUGGCUCUUAACUGUCUACGCCUCAUGGUGGGAAGAACUCACAAUUUAUCAAGUUGGAUAAUGAAGCUACAUGGUGACAGGCUGACCCAGGGAGCUAGAAAGUCAUCCUCUCCUCAUUUGCUCACUCCCCAGUGCUCCAUCCAGAGCAGCCCAGGAUGGGAGGAGAAACCAUGUCACAACAGGCACAAACCCAGAUCAGCUCCCUUCCUGGCCAAGGGGCCCUCCCGUCUCGUCUCAGUCCCAAACCCCCACUUCCCAGCCUCACUCAAGAUCUCACACAGGAAUGACUUGAGGGUUUCUCCCAAAGUCCUGAUUCCCAAGCUGCACCCCACCCCCCACAUCCCCCAACCCC